RNAcentral lists this ribosomal RNA (516 nucleotides) under uncultured bacterium. Its description in RNAcentral is "bacterial SSU rRNA". It matches the Rfam family "Bacterial small subunit ribosomal RNA", at positions 29 to 524 of the family's 1533-position model. The record is from RNAcentral.
AGCGAACGUUAGCGGCAGGCUUAACACAUGCAAGUCGAGCGACAAAGGGGCUUCGGCCCUGAGUAGAGCGGCGGACGGGUGCGUAACACGUGGAUAAUCUGCCUCGUGGCGGGGGAUAACAGUCCGAAAGGACUGCUAAUACCGCAUGUCAGGUGGAAACCCCGGUUUCUGACGAAAAAGAGGGCGCCCGCAAGGGGCUCUCACCACGAGAUGAGUCCGCGGCCCAUCAGCUAGUUGGCGGUGUAAUAGACCACCAAGGCUAAGACGGGUAGCUGGUCUGAGAGGAUGACCAGCCACACUGGGACUGAGACACGGCCCAGACUCCUACGGGAGGCAGCAGUGGGGAAUAUUGGACAAUGGGCGAAAGCCUGAUCCAGCCAUGCCGCGUGAGUGAUGAAGGUCUUCGGAUCGUAAAGCUCUGUGGGAAGGGACGAAAAAGCCUAACCUAAUACGUUAGGUCUUGACGGUACCUUCUUAGCAAGCACCGGCUAACUCCGUGCCAGCAGCCGCGGUAAU